Molecule: microRNA precursor, 63 nt
Filed under: Danaus chrysippus (African queen)
Lineage: Eukaryota; Metazoa; Arthropoda; Insecta; Lepidoptera; Nymphalidae
Also listed under: 1 other name
Description: mir-2 microRNA precursor family
Rfam family: mir-2 microRNA precursor family
About the family: The miRNAs are transcribed as ~70nt precursors (modelled here) and subsequently processed by the Dicer enzyme to give a ~22nt product. In this case the mature sequence comes from the 3' arm of the precursor.
Source: Rfam by way of RNAcentral
UCGCUCUCGAAGUGGUUGUCGUAUGUCUUACACCCAUAUCACAGCCAGCUUUGAUGAGCGACA